This 320-nucleotide ribosomal RNA is filed under the name uncultured Roseburia sp. RNAcentral's name for it is "bacterial SSU rRNA". It matches the Rfam family "Bacterial small subunit ribosomal RNA", at positions 355 to 690 of the family's 1533-position model. The record is from RNAcentral. Lineage: Bacteria; Bacillati; Bacillota; Clostridia; Lachnospirales; Lachnospiraceae.
UGGGGAAUAUUGCACAAUGGGGGGAAGCCCUGAUGCAGCGACGCCGCGUGAGCGAAGAAGUAUUUCGGUAUGUAAAGCUCUAUCAGCAGGGAAGAAGAAUGACGGUACCUGACUAAGAAGCACCGGCUAAAUACGUGCCAGCAGCCGCGGUAAUACGUAUGGUGCAAGCGUUAUCCGGAUUUACUGGGUGUAAAGGGAGCGCAGGCGGUGCGGCAAGUCUGAUGUGAGAGCCCGGGGCUCAACCCCGGUACUGCAUUGGAAACUGUCGUACUAGAGUGUCGGAGGGGCAAGUGGAAUUCCUAGUGUAGCGGUGAAAUGCG